ACACAGACGAGCUACAUUUCAAAAAGACGUUUGUCUAUUUUACAAACAAGAAAGUGAAAGGAUACCCCGUUAAACGCCUCUUCUUUAAACUAUUACAGUAUUCUUUUCUCUAACCAACUUUUAUUACCUUCUCAUCUCUCUGUUUCGUUUCGCUAAUGUUUAUCUUUCACUUUAUGUAAAGAAUGACUUUUUUCCUGCGUAGAUGUAGUAGAUACCUUUUGGUUUUAAACCACUCCCGGAAAUUACCAAGAGAAUAAUGUUUGAAACAGUUUGAAAAAAAAGCCCUAGUAAUUAAGACUAUUGUGGUCAUUUUGAUUGGGAUUAAUUGUUCGAAAUGAUGAUACGUCAAUUAUUUCUCCUUGUUCAGCUUUUGAUUGUCUCCGUGUUCGCUAUAGAUGGGAAAUGUGGGUACGAUGCACUACCCGGCGGAGGAAUUCCGUCAAGUCGUAUUCUAAAUGCAGAAACAUCACAAAGAUGUCAGUGGCCAUGGAUGGUCUCUGUUAGAAGAACUGGUACUAAGGAUAUGUGUGCUGGGGUAUUAAUUGAUGAAGACAAAGUGCUGACAACUGCUCGGUGUUCAGCGGCUUUAGAGAGUUUGGGUGGACAGUUUGAAGUUGUGAUUGGGGAGUAUAACAUUGAGGUAGAAGAUGAAAAGGAUGGACUGGGAAAACCAACAGAAACUAUUAUACCAGUUACGUCAAUGAGUCAACAUCCGGAAUAUGAUGGCAUUUGCAUUUCUAAUGAUAUAGCUGUAGUAAGAUUAGCUAAAGCUGUAGAGUAUGGUGAAUGUGCUCUACCAGCAUGUGUAACACAGACCAGGGGUACUGAUGAGUACUGUGAUGAUUAUAUUGAAGAAUGUGUCAUGGCUGGCUGGGGAAAAUAUAAAGCUGUAGGAGCAGAGAAAUCACCAAAACUACGAUGGGCCUACACCGAAAUGUUGGGACCGGAAGUAUGUAGUGCUAUCUACCGGUAUGGGGAUAACUCUACAUUACCCGAGAAUAUUUUCUGUUUAGAUGAAAGCAAGAACAAGCAGACAGCCUGUUUGGGUGACGAAGGUGGAAUGGUACUAUGUAAUCUGAAAGGACAAUGGGUGUUAAAGGGUUUAAUCAGUCUAACUUCGUGUGGAGAUUCUUUACCCUCUCUGGCAGUUGAUAUCGCUAGUUCUACAAUCAAUGAUUUUGUUUCCAGGAAUUAAUGUUUUGGUAAAGAAACCCUUUAUGUAUAGAUAACUCUCGCUAGAUCAAAACUAACCCCAAUCUAAGAUAAUACAAUCUGGUUAAAAUACAGGGGCCUUAUUUGUCUCUUUGUAUAUUUUUACUGUUAAGGGCUAUUUACUUGUUGUAUUGCGCCAUCUUGCCUACUUUUGAUUACUAUUUGCCAAUUCUGUAGCCGUCUUUGCGAAUUAAAUAAAGUUUGAUAAUUUUAUAAUUAA
This is a long non-coding RNA of Patella vulgata (common limpet), 1432 nucleotides long. RefSeq lists it as uncharacterized. The transcript is spliced from 6 exons. Lineage: Eukaryota; Metazoa; Mollusca; Gastropoda; Patellidae. The record is from RefSeq and is a predicted model, not a curated record.